RNAcentral lists this long non-coding RNA (21852 nucleotides) under Cucumis sativus (cucumber). Its description in RNAcentral is "long non-coding RNA (CSAT_LNC002413)". The record is from RNAcentral. Lineage: Eukaryota; Viridiplantae; Streptophyta; Magnoliopsida; Cucurbitales; Cucurbitaceae.
CCCCAAGAGGUAGUCAAGAUUGCUAAUUUGUAAAGGCUCAAGCGAAGGAUCAGAGAGGGGUAACAAUCCAGCAUUUAUCUCAUCAAGGCUCAGAAGGGUUCCUGUUUUGCAGAAUUUACAUAACGUUGCAGCUUCAACAUACUCUUGCACCUGCAGAAGCCAAAGCUGAGCAAAUCGGCUUAUCAUUUAAUUUCAGGCCUAAAAAGGUAAAAGAAAGAAAGGUUACCCCUGGUGAGUAUGCUCGCCUUAGCUUCCAGAAAUCAGUUCCCUGUAGUUCUUUUACAAGUCGAGAUAUAUGCCAAGUUGCCACAUGCCCCAAGUCCUUCUCCGCCUUUUCCAGAACUUCCUCUUUGUUCUGUUUACUGAUUCUGUUUUAAUAAUCACACUACUAAGCCACAGUCUACGUACAUAUAAUUGUAUUCAUAAUGAGUUCUUAUCAACAACUAGACCAUGAAAAUCCAAAAUGGAAACAAGUGAAAGACUAAAUAGAUUGAUGUGCUCAACAGUUCAAGACUGCCAAAAGUCGAAAACAGAAAAAACCAAAUCAAUAACAUACACAACAAAGUGAAAAAUAAAGUACUAAGAACACGUAGAUAUUAACUGAGUGGCAAGAUCCCAAUUCCUACCUGUGUACUUGAAAAAUGACCUUUUUGCUGUUCAUUGUAAUAUCACGGCUUGCUUUCACCACUCUUUCUCGCUUAUCAUUCUGCAUAUUUAACCAACCAAAAAGGUAGGGAAAAAGGGUUUCAAAUUGAAGCAAACUCAAGCAUUAUAGCGAACUAUUCUACCCAUAAACCUAUAACUAAUCAUCCAGAAGAGCUCUUGAUAAUGAAUAGCCAACUAAUGGGCUCAACUUAACCAUAUACAUUGCAUUUCAAUGGCAGCAAUUGAAGCCAAACAAGCUAGUAAUCUCACAACGGAAACAAACUAAAGAAACCCACAACGAUAACAACAACAACAGACACUAAAUUCUCAAAUCAAUCCCCAAAUCGUCGGAGCUAAAAAGAAAUGAAGUAACACCAAGAUAGUAUACGGUUCAUUGGCGCAUCCAUUGGCGCAUCCUUACACAAGAACUAUAAAGAAAAUGAUGAACUUACAAGGUUAUUGAGGUAUUCAGCAUAUUUAGCGAAGGCGUCUUUCAUGGAGGAUUGGGUGGAUAAUAUCCUCGCCCUUUUCACUGAGCUCUGCACUGCUGUCUCUGCAACUGCCCACAAUUUGAAAUUGUGACAAAAACCCAGAAGAAUAAAACUAAAAUCGAAUUGAAAAUUUCAAUUUUAUAAACCCUAAUUCACAGAGAGAGAAAUUACUUGUGUGGAGUAACUGGGGUUUGGGUUUGGAAGCCAUGAGGGCGGCCUUGUGAAAUCCCGUAGUAUUGAACAUCUGUCCCUAUGGGACACCGCACUUACAAUUCCGCCAUAGAUACAUUUGAAUUUACUAUUAAGUUUGGAAAUUUUACUUUUUAUGGUUACUAAAUUUUACUUUUAACUUUAAUUUCUUUUACACUUCAAACCUUCAACAACAAAUAAUAAAAAACUAUCUAUGUUUAGUAAAUGGUCCACUCUUUUUUUUUUUUUUUUGAAAAAUGGUCUACUCAACCGUGUUCAAGCCAGAUGGAUGUCAAUUAAUGUGUUUCAAGCAUCUUAGAUUGCUCUGUUUCGAUAUAGAUCAUGCAAGGAGUUAACGAAAUACUUAAUGCCUUUAUCACAACAUAAGAAUAAAAUAAAAAAUAUACUAAAGAAUGGGGAAUUAAUCUCAGCUCAGUAUGGGUGAAUGCUAGUUUCAAUGACCUUACAAAUAACUUCAAAUAGAAAUGAAGAGAUGGUUCUUCUCGAAAAUUAUCAAGGCUUCCCAUUAGAAUCACGCAACACAACUCCAACACCCAAAUCUCCAAUAGACAUCAUAAUUGAGAGAACUAAAAGAUUUUUGAGAAAUUUUUCCCACGAACAAAAUAUUGUUUUCGCAAUUAAAGGAUUUCACCAUAAAUGAUUUUCUCAUAGAAUCUAUUGUCUCUCUCACUUGUUAUCUACUCCUCGCUACCGAUGGGUGACUAUAACACUAUCUCAUCAUCUAACUCUCGAUUAAAUGAAACAACAUACACAACUAAAACUGACAAAAAAAAAAGGAUAUUUACGUAAUUAGAUAGCUAUAUACUUGAUGUGGAAAAAUGUACUGAAUAGUUCAAGAGCCAUUAAAUUAGAGUGUGAAAGUUUCAAGAAUUUGAGCUCUUUGGGGGUGAGGUUUUUGAAGUUUGCUUAAACAUCCUUAAAAUUGUUUUGGGUUUGCUAGUUUUUUUUGUUAUACUAUACGUUCAUACAACCACCAUUAAGGAUCAUAAAAAGGUCACCUCAUACAAACAUAAUACACAUAGCGAGAAAUGAACACAAGUAGAAGAGAUCAAAGCAGGUUUUGGAGUCACCGAAGGUGUGAAUCAUUAACAAAGAUCAAGCCCCAAGGGUCACAUGUUUUCUUCGAAGAGUUGUUAUGGUAAUUUCACUGAAAAAAGGGAUCAUUCAUGCAAAAAUUUGAAAGAUAUGGACCAAAUUGUAUAUAGAUAUAGCUAAAGAAGAUUCAUACGACGCCGAGUUAGAAAGUUACAAGUGGCAAUCGGAGACAAAGCCAAACAAUGUGGGAAACGGGCUGCCGUUGCCACAGUGACCGCUGCCAAAGCAAAAUUGGAAAGGAGCCGCCGGAAAAACCCCAACACCUGCAGACGAACGUCAAAAUUCUAUUGGCUGAUCCGCCCAUAGAAAUAGAAAUUCGAUUCCCAGCCUUAAAACCUCCACUAAUUUGCAUUACCCAUCUCUUUCUCCAACAUUCAAUUCACAGAAACAGGACCAACAAUGGUGACGCUAGUGGUAGCAACUACAUUCGAUCCAGCAUCCAUUAAUCCUGCAAACGAGCUCCUCGCCAUGCCCGGAUGGAGCCCCGGCCCUCCUCUUCAGGUCCUUUGAUCUCUUCCAUCUAUUUCCAAUUUGAACCGUUUCUGUUACUUCCUUUGAUUAAUCUGAUUCUUCUGUUCAUCAGGAAAUGAAAAGCUUCGCCAAUCGAAACGUGAGGCUGCUGCAACACGACAGGAGUAUUGUGGUUGAAGAUGAUCUCGAUAAUCGUUGGGAGGAACUCACCGGCGAGGUCGUGGACGAGGUCAUUUUCUUUAGUCGGCAUACUGCUGUUUCAAAUCGUCCUGCACUCACAGUUCAUCCGAUUGGUACGAUUCCUCUGUUUCUUAGUCCGUUUGGUUAAUGAAUGGGAACGUUAAUUUCAGUUGUGAAUUUUUGUGUUCGUAAAGGGGUUCCUCAUUUGCGAGAUGGAGAAGUUCCGCCGCAAGGAGGGAAGCCUGGAUGGGCGGCGCCGCCGAGCCCUCGUAUAGGUCCCUGGUUGAGGCUCUUGAAAACGAUUGCACAAUCCCACAACUUAGUGCCAGAGUUCGAGGUUAACCAUAUUUCUCUUUUGUUUCUUUUAUAGUUCGUCAUUUACUGAGCAUUGGGUCAUGUGGGUUUUUGAAGUUUUAACUUAUUUAGAAACUGAAUAGAUUACGUUGGAGGGUACUCAUCAUGGACCUGUGACAAAUAAACCAACUCUGUUUCUGGAAAUUGGUGAGUGUUUUGUUUGAUUGUAUGUGUGCACAAUGAAAAUAUGGGAUUUCAGAGCUUGGUUUGUUGUUCGUUCUACUAUUUAUUGUAUCUUUCUGGAUUGAUUGAGAUUCACGCAAAGUACUAGAGGUUUACUUUAGUUAUUAACUAUUUUACUAUGAUUUAUUUUAGCUUGUAGAAUUUUGUAAUUGGGGAUAAAUCUAUCCUUCCAUUAUUGUCCAUUUGAAAUUUGGUUUGCUCAGGUUAACUUCACAGCUUCUUAUAUAUUGAGAAAUCUGGUAUAUGGUGCUAAAUUUGGAAUGGUAGAAUUCUUUUGGACCUUUGAAUCUUGUCUCACCUGGAUGUCUCAUCUUCUUUUCCAAUCAAAUUCGAAGGAAUUAGGGAGGUGGAAUGAGUGGCCCAAGGUUUAUUGGAUAAAUCUUAUCAAUUUAUUUACAAUGAGACCAAUACCAAAUCCGGGUAUAUAUUGAAGGGCUCACUUGGUUUAUUUGUAUAUGAAAAUUUGAGAUGCAGUAACGAAUUGUUUCUUUCUUCUGAUGGCGAACUAGAUAUCAAUUCAGGGUAUGUGAAAGUACUCACUGGAUUAUUUGCCAUGAAAUCUAAUAUUUUACAUCUGGCAAAAUUUUCUUUUUCUGAUCAAUAGGCAGUACAGACGAGUAUUGGAGGAGGCCAGAUGCUGCUCGUGUUAUUGCUCUAGUUGAGUAAUCCUAGAUAAGAAUUCAUUUCUGUAUUAGUUAUCAUCAUUUAUUGAAUGUGUCAUGACAUUGACAUUGUUCCUUAUGGAUUACCAUUUUGGAUAAUUGCAGCUUGUCUGGGAAGGACUUGCUAUUGGAGGAGGAAACGAUGUAGGAAACUGGAACAGGUAAUUGGUACAAGAACAACCAUUAGGAUUGCAGCUUAACUUCUGUUUAUUUUCUCCUAAUAUUUACCUCUAAAUUUUAAUCGGUCAUUUUAAACGAGUCUGUCUACCUGAUCUAUCGUUGAAAUUCGAUGGCUAGCCGCUACUUAGUUCUGUGACCUUUCCAACUUUAUUUAAUCAUAUGAUUGCUAUAUCUUGGUGGCUGAUGUUGCAUAGUUUCAAAAGAACAAGCUGUUGUUAAAAUUUAACUUAGAAGUCAUCCUUAACAUUACAAUCGUGUUUUUAGAAUCAAUGAUGACGUUACUGGAGCUAGUUUUUUCUCUUUAUAUUCAUUACAUUUCUCACCGAUGUGCUGGUCUGCAUUAUUCAAAAUAAUGUGUAAGCCCACACAUUGAAGAGGUGGCUAUACAUGAGUUGUGUCCUACGCAUAACUCUUUAAGUUUUUAAGUGCUUAGAGUCGCUAUCAAGUAUCAACAGCUUCCUAAUUUCCUUGACUUGAAGAUAUUCUUCGCAUCAUAAUACCAUUUCCUCGCCCUUAGGUUGUUCUUUUUUGUUAAAUGGAUAAACUUGUUUCUUAUCAAAAAGAAAUAAUACCAUUUCCUCAAUGAGAUUAUCUUUUCUUCUAAACGCCUAUGUGUUAUAAUCUAAUCUUAUAUUCUCAUUGUGAGGCAGGGAACAUAACAAGAACAAUAAAGUCCUUCUUGGCAUCGGGGGUGGACAUUAUGCACCUCGCCACAUGGACAUAGUUUUGUAAGUAUCAGCCGGUCAGGCUAUCCUUAAGUUCAUGUGAUCAUUUCCUAAGCCUUGUCGAUUCUUAUACUUGAUUCUCAUUUCAUUUUAGUUCUUGUAUUUUCAAAUACCCAAUAUUUUCAAAUAUCUAAUUUUCUUUGCGUACUUUCAAUAAAUCUUCCAAUUGGUAUUUAUUGUCAGUUUAAAGUUAGUUUUGAUCAUAGUUAUGAUACUAAUUUCCAUCCUAGAAAAAACGCAAGGAAUAUGUUCCGAAAAUUUAUAGAAAGAUGGCUAUUAAUGACAUUCUUUUAAAGUUCAAAAUUAACAUUUAUAAGUAGAUAGGCUAAAAUGAAAUGAGCCUUGAAGUACAGGGUUAGGGAACUUAUUAUAUGCUAGUAAUUAGCUUUGCCCUUUUUUCUAUGCACAGUUUUAUGUUGAUCUUUUUUUGGAUAAGAAACCUGUAUAUUCAUGGAACAAGAAAGAACAACCUAAAGACAAGGGACAAGACUCAAGGGUGUCCUUUCCAACAGAAACUAAAGAAUAAUGACUUUUCAAUUGUUGAAAAUCAUAAAAAGGCUGUAAUUACAAAAGUGUCCGGUGUAAUUCGUACUUCACCAAGAAACUGUGUGUUGCAACACAGUCCAAAAAGAAUCAAAAGAAUUAUAGUUGCGUUAAAAAAUUCUACUAUUCCUUUCUUUUCAAAUGCACCACAAAAGGGGCUGGGUAGCAGAUCUCCACGAGAUGUUUCCUUUCAGAUUAUAACCUCUAACGUUGAGCGCUUCCAGCAUCCAACUAUCAAUCUUACUAGGAAGACAAAGCUCCAAAUACAAAAUUCUAAACAAAGUGUUCCAAGCUUUUCUAGUAAAUAAACAAUGCAAAAAUAAGUGGUCUAGGGUCUCUCUUCUUUGAAACAAAGGCAGCACAUCAAGGGGCUGAGCAUAGUGUGCUGGAGUUUUUUUUUGGAGUUUCUCGUGAGUGUUAAGAUUUCUAUAGGCGAGCAACUAUAGGAAGAAUUUCACCUUUUUCAGAAUUUUAGUCUUCCAUAUGUGGCGAAUCAAGGGAACAAUGGAGGGGGAUCUUGGUUAAAUUAGAAAAAGUAGACUUAGUCGUAAAGCUGUCGGAACUUAUUGUGGUCUUAAACAGUUUUAUGGUGGUCUUAAAUGCAGCCUGCUUGCAAUUAUGACAGUGAUAGAGUUUUUACACAUUAAAACUGUCGGAACUUAUUGUGGUUUUCUCCUUAACCUUUAGCUCCUUAGAUAACUAUAUGGUUACAAAUACAAAUUGUCAUCUUCCAUGGUUUUAGUUUGCUUAAAGUAGAGUUUGAAAAUUGAACCACUUAGCUCCUUUGAUAACUAUUUGGUUUUUGAAAAAAAAUUAUAAAUGCUAAUUCUACCUAAGAAUUUUAUUUGUUUUAGCAUCUACUUUCUAAAAACAUAUUUGUUUUAUCAUCUACUUUCUAAAAACAUUUUCAAAAUCUAAGCAAAGUUUUGAAAACUAAAAAAAUUUAGUUUUUGUUUUUUUCUUUUAAGGUGAUGAAAGAUAGCAAACAAAUUGUGUGGAAAGAAGCAUAAAUUUCAACAACAGAAAAUUAAAAAUGAAGUCGAAACCAUUAUCGAAUGUACCUAGGCCAUAACACAUUCAGUUUCAAAGCUAGUGCAUGUUAAGUGGAAUUAUAUGCACUUUGAAGGAAGUAGCCUUGUUCUCAGUUCUCAUACUUCAUCUGUUACUUCCUGUACGCAGCCACUUUUUUAUUAUGCUUUUUUAUAACUGAACAAGAAAGAGGGGAAAUUUCCCGAGUCUUCAUUCAAAGGGAAUGGAUAUAUUAUGAUUUCUAUGUUCAAAUGGUUUUUUUCUUUCAAUACUUCCAGAAAAGAUGGAGUUUGGGUAAGCCACUUGCUCUCAGGAUAUUCAUUGCCAAUGGAAGAUCCAAACCAGUCAAAUGGCGGAACAAACAACAAAGAUAUUGGCGGGAGCUGGAAAGAAGCAAUCAAAGCAGCAUAUGAGGCUACUAAAUUGGCUUUCCCAGGUGGAGAGAUCAUAGCACACCUUGAUCACAAGUAAGUUCAAUCCAUUUCAUAAACUCGAAUGUAUGGCUUUCCGGGCAUCUGAACUCUGUCUUUGAGGUUGAUAAGCCAUGAAAUCAUAAUUGUUUGAAUUGCAGGAGUUUCAAGGGCUGGCAGAAGAAUGCCAUAACAGGGUUCUUGGGUGAACAGGGCAUUAAAAUUGGCAAACCAAAUGACUUUUACUGAUUAUUAUUCGUCUGAAGAACAUCAUCUAGAUUUACUUUAAGUCUUCAGUUGAUUAGUUCAUAGAGUUAUUGAAAGGAGUUAUUUAUAUCAUCAUAUAUUAUUAAGCAUUCAACAUGUCACUUUAUCAUCUUGUUCUUCCUUGCUUGAAUAGGAAAGGUUGAAGAUUAUUCAGAAUGAUCUCCAAGGUAUGAAAAUGGACUUUAUUUUCGUUUUGUCAUUACUGCCAAAGGGUAUAUGAAGUUUUCAAGAAAGACUUUCUUUAAUGUCCAAAAAUAUUUUCCACUAAUUAAAAUCACUUUAAAACUUUAAUGUCAUUGGGUCGCAUAGUCAAUAUAUUAUAGGUUUUUUAAAAGGUAAUAGUUAAUAAAGGUUAAAUAAAUCUAACGUAGAGUAGAAAAAAACAUUAUGAAUGGAAAAUAUAUGGUUUCGUUUUCAUUUGAAUUCUGUUUUUCUAAGAUCCAUCCCGAGAAAAUAAGCUUAGUUUCUCAAAAAAGAAAAAAAAAACCAAAUAGCCUUAAAAACAUUCCAUAGAGAUUAUAUAUAAAAGUAACAAAAUGGAUAUCAAACCAAACUCAAAUACAACAUAAACUAAACUAAGAUGGUAUUAAAAACAUGAUUCAAUCAUCUUUUUCAGGAGUUGGGUUUUCAAUAUUGAUGCAACAUUGAAUUCACAAUUAAAUGUUAUUGAAAUAAUAAUAUUUAAGGCAGUUGAGACAUCCUUUUCCAUUACAAUUAAAUUCAAAACCAUAGGCCAUAAAAUGGGUACCUAAAAAAAAGGUAUUUUUAGGUAUCUAAAAUUGGGUAGGAGUGGUCACAAUAUCAUUUUCCCCUAAAGUUUUUAUACCAAAAAUUUGAAGCAAGGGCAGACAAACCCCUUUAAAAUUAAGGGGCAAACCCCCAAUUGGACCCUCAACUUGCCAAUUGGAACAUUGAUGCAUGAAAGGGCCAAAUCCUUGUUCCUCAAAACAAAUCUUUUCCUUGUCCUUAGAGGUUUUCUUUAUCAUUUAUUUGGAGUCAAUCCCCCUUUUGCUUUAAAUAUUACAUCAUAAAUACCAAAUCCAUGCAAACUUAAUUAUGACAUAACCAAAGUGUUCAAUAUCUUAAAAUAUCAUUUAGUCUUCAACUUCCCUCAGUACGAUGUCGUUUAAAACACUCGUUCAAAACCUAGUGUGCAUGUGAAUCUUGAGGAUAUGCAAUUGUGUUUAGUAAAAACUUUAAAAAAUUGUUAGUUACCUCAUUUAACCAUAAGAGACAUAUUUAUUUAUGGUCAAAUCAAGUAUAAAUAAUUUCAUUGACAUACUAAUGUGUUUACUGUGGUUCAAAUCAUUUGUAUUCAAAGAAAAAAAAAAUACAUCAUUCUAUUUAGUCUUGAUCAUAAAAAGUUUUUGAAUCAUGGUCUUAGGAUCUUAUGUUGAGCUUUCAAGAUGCUUUCUUAUUUAAUAAGCUUUUCUUUUUUUCAAAAACAAAUCCACGGAUUCAAGAUAAAAGUUAUUAUCUAAUUAAACAUACAAGUGAAUAAAUUUCAUAAGGCCUAUGAUUGGGGUGUACUAAAAAUUCAAAAUUACCUAAAAUAAAAUACAAUUAUUUUGUGUAUCUAUCAAAUUUAUUUUAUUUACUUUCCCACCAAUAUAUUUGGCUUUUUAUUUGUGGAAUUUGGUAAACAAGAGUGACAGCUAUUAAGCAUUUACAAUCAAAUAAAAUAAAACUCAAUCUUCUAUAGACACAAAUGAAGAUUAUUGAACUAACAGUUUUUCCGAUUAAUAAUAUUUUAAAUUGACACAUGAAAUGCUUCCUUUGACUAUAAUUAUUAAUAAAUGCAUACAAAAUCAACCAUUAACCCAUAAAAAAAAAAACGAGGUUCCACUCACCUUCGAUUCGACAAAAUAUUUAUAAAUACAAAACAACGUCAUAAAGUUAGAAAGUAUAUAUGUAUCAUUUUAACGCAAUAUUUAUUUGUGUAUAUAGUUUUUUUAAUGAAAAGAGAACUUUAGCGGUGUGUAUUAUAAGUUAAAUUUGAUGUCAACAUCAUUGGAUUGGACUAAAGUAGUUUUGAUGCUACAAGCUACUAAAAACCUUAGGGUCUAAUUCAUCAAAUUUUAAACUUUAACAUUUCACAUCAAAGCUAAAAACUUGGAUUGUUGUUUUACAAGUAUAAAUAUUCAUAUUUAUAUGAGUGCCUGUCCAAAUAUAACCUAGAGAAUGUGUGUUUUUCAAUUCAAUCUUUUUUCAUACAUACAUACAUGCAUACAAUAAUAAUGUUAUAUUGAAAUUGCAAGUCUAAAUGGAUAAUAAUGAUUUAUUAGUAUUCUCCCAACAUUUACAAAAGAAUUGGAAAAGUGACCUCCAAAUUUGUAUAGUUUAUUAUUAAUAUUUUACAAAACGUAUUUGAUCUUAUAGAAAGAGAACAUAAAUGCAAAAUUUCCCCCAAAUCAAAUCAAUUGUAUUCAAACUUAUGUUUUGAAAUAAUUAACCAAUCAUAAUCAAAAUUGUCAAUUCUCUAUCUCUCUCUAUUUUAAUUUUUGUUUUUCAUUUCCAUUAACUAUUACAUAUAUUUUUCUUUUCUUAGUUCCUAAAUCGUAUUAAACCCAUUUACUUUCAAUUGCAACCACUCAUUCAUAUAAUUAGAGAGUUAUCAACGGCUAUAAAUUAAUAGAAAAAUGAUGAGUUUCCGGAGCCCACAGCAUUAGGUCAGCAUACGUCACAUUAAAGUUUCCAUCUACUCUGAGUGCCUUUCAGACACGUGUGAACCAGAUUGAACUACCUGAUGCCACGUGGCGUAUCGGUAAUUAUAAAUGCCACCCAGUUAAAUUAUUUAAUAAAUUUUACUGCAAGAUUGAUAGAAAUUGAUAAAUAUUUUAGUAUGAUGGAGAUGUGGUUAUUUGAUGAUAGAAAAGGAGAAAAUGAAAAUUAGAAAAGAAGAAAGGGGAGAAGGAAAAUGGAAAACGGAAAAGAUGAUGAAAGGGCCGUAGAAUCGAGAGUUCAUGCAUGGGUAGGCAACACCGUUGGGAAUCAGAUCCCUCUUUUGAUUAAUUGAUGAUAUAAUGUAAUAAAAAAAAGAAAAGAAGGUCAAAAUUGCGGGAUUGAUGAAUCUAUAGCAUGUGGACCCACUCGGCUUAAUUAAAAUAGAAAAAAGAAAGAAAAUCAUAUUAAUAUACAUUUGGCACCAAAACCAUGGAUUCUGAACCUUACUGCACCGCCGUUAACAAAUCGCUCAACUUCCUGUAGUUCCCGGCGACUUUCAAUUAUCCGGUGAAAGACCUUCACCAAAUUUCCCUUUCCCACACAAAUCCAGGCUGUACUGCAAUUAGUAUUUGAUUUGUUAAACAACUCAACAAUUCCUGAAGAAAUCCAAGUGACUGAUGAGAAUUUGACAAUUACAAAGCUUCUUUCAAUUACGAUACAAGUCACAUAAAGGUCGGAGAUCAAUAUUUGACGUUUUUUCGAUUUGUUUCUGCUCCGGUGAUCGGCGACCCGGCAUAAGGCGGUGUUUCGAGGAGAGAAUCCGGUGAAGAAGGAGGAGGAGCAGCAGAUGUUUGUUUUGGUAAGUAAUUUGAAGUUAGGUUUAGGGUAAGCGAAAGGUAUAUUAAUUAGGGAGCGGAGUCUGGUAAGGCCAUUUGUUUGUCUCUUCCUUUAUUAAUUGCAAUGAAAGAGAGAGAGAGAGAGAAGGACGUUCUGUAUAAUCUGCCAUGGCAGGUGACCUUUUUUUAGGCUGAUAACAGAAAUAGCCAAGCUCUCUCUGACUCUGUUCCACCAUUUAUUCAAAUUUCACUCUCUUUUUCUCUCUGUUCCAUAAAUUCAAUCACCAAACUAGGGCGCUCCUUUGCCCCAUUUUUUCACUCUUCCUUUUAAUACUAUCAGGGGGUUUCUGCCUCAGCACAUUUCUGCUUCAGGGUUUUACAUGGAGGUUGAUACUUUUUGUUUUUUCAUAAUUUCUUCUUUAACUCUGUGUAUUAUAUUCUUGUUUGAAUAUUUGACUUCCCUGUCUGUUCAUGUUUCUUUUUCUCAUUCUCUGAUGUUUUGAAUUCUUUCUGUUAGUGUACUUUUUUUUUCCUCCAUUAACAGCGAGGUGGAGGAUGGGGGUUGAUUUUGUUUCAUCAUUAGUUGAAGAUAAAGGAGAAUUGGUGGGGGAAUUUUCUUUGUUUGAAUAAUCAUUUUAAGUUAUGAUGUUUCUGUUGAAAGUUUUUGUUUGCUUUUGAAAAGUUCUUCCAACUUUUUUUACCACUCGUCUUUUUCUAUUUUUAUUAUUAUUUUUGAGUAUUGGUAACAGGGCUUUGGAUUCCCAGCACGUAUAGCCCAGAGAACUUUUUUUUAUUUUUAUUUUGAACCAAGUUAUCGUGUAACAAUGACUUUGAUCUGAUUUUCUUGAUUUACUCAAGCGUUCUGUGCUGAGAUUAUUGUUAAUUUUCAUUGAAAUGUCACUGCCUUUUAUGGUAAAUUGCUAACAUUAGUUAGCUGAUUCUCUGUAGUUCUUAAAUGAGUGAUUCUGGAGGGUCCGGACCUUGGCACCUGCUCAAUCACCUAGGAGCUGACAAUGCUAUUCAUUGUAUGUAACUGUUAUAAUAGUUGGGAAGGGAGGGGGGUCUUCUUUUGGCUUUUGGCUUUUGCCAGUUUGAACUCAAACUUUUCUCUUUAUUAUCAUUAAAAUAGAUUUGCUUGUUCUGCUUCAGAAUAAUUGAUAUAAUUACAAUAUCUGAGGGGAAUAUAUAGGAAUUGCUAAUGGAGUAAUGGGUCACAGUCACAGAUUAUGAUCCAUUUCUUGGAAUGACUUUUUUCCUUCACUCUGUUAUAACAUCAAAGUGGCAAUGAAGAAGUUGUGUUUGAUUUCCAAUCUUAUAGUGGACUGCAAAGUUUUAUAUUUGUCUCUUCCUUUUAAGCUCAGUUUUUUUUCUUCUUCGUUCGUCCAUUCAUAGAAGUUUAGAAAGUUGUUGAAUUUCUGUUUCAAUAAAUUCAUGUUUUUUGGCAGGUUCAUGCUAUCUUUCAUGAAGGUUUGAAUCUCUUGAAGGUCCUUUUGCCUCCAUGAUUUGUUAGCUAUGAAACUGGGUAUUAACAUUUUCCAUUGCCUUGUAUUCUACUUGAUCUUUAUCAUUUUGGUGCUACUUACACUCAUCAAUCCACCGCUUUUUCAAUUUGUUGUCCUAACUUGGAUUUGUGAUUAUGUAUAUGCAGACAGUGACUCUUCAUUUUACCAUUCAAUGACCAGCCCGAACGAUGCUCCAGAAUCUCUCGAAUGCAAUUACAGCAGUACUGUGUUGCAACACCGGGUCAUGACUAAUAAUCCAACUGGCCUCUCAUUUCAACAGAAGAUAAACCAGGAAAAUGUUGUUCAAUCUUCACAUUCUUCUUGUGAUGGGAAUAGUUGCAUGAUUACUAAGAUUAACCGGUCGUCUACAGAUGUUUUUGAUGAUAAUAAUGCUGAAGGUAUUAGUGCAUUUGGGGCAUCAUCCAAUAUGAAACCCUCAUUCUCAUAUGUUGACAAAAGUGUCAUGGAAUGUCAAAUGUCAAAAACGAUAGUCUGUGACCAAGAAGUUAAUGUCAAUGAUGUGAAGGAUAUUUGCAUCGAUGAUGGGGUGGCUUCUCUGGAAAAUUUCUUCUUUAAGAGUACGGCCGAGAAGUCAAUCAGUAAAAUCUCCCCUCUGGAGGAAGACCGGAACGAAGGAUCUAUAAAAGAAAAAGAGACUUCUUCUGAGGUGUCCAAGUUCAUAGCAGAUGAUCGUAAAGUUUCUUUAGAAGAUCACUUUGCCAUGGACUGGACUACUCAUAAUGAUGCGAAGGACUUGACACAGAUAGAGGAAGAAAAACUCAAUCUGAGCGAGCCAGAGCUUUUGAUGCAAAAGCUUGUUAAAAGAAGUUACUCUUCCGAGUCUUUAGAUAAAAUAGGUCUGCAGGUAUGCAUAUUUCUGGCCAAAUUAUUAAUCAUGUUCUGUCGUACACUACAUGUUUGUUCUAUUUUUAAUCUGAAUAUAUUGAAGGAUGCUCGUUUUGACAAAACAAUUUUAGCUCCAGUGGUCAUGUUUGAUGUGGAUUGCAUUUCUUUUAACUUCAGAUAUCUGGUGAAAAAACAAAUUUGGAAGACCCUUCUUCAGCUUCCAAAUCUGUUGAUUCUUGCAACGACACUCCUGCUUUGGACUCUGCAGCAGAACCACCCAAGGAUAACAUCCCAGCGCAUCCUUCAGGUUAUAAUGAUGAAUUUGAGAAUGGAAGUAUUGCACUUACUUUCAAUUCGAUAUCUCCAGUGGCAAAUGGUGGAGAAGAACGUCAGGAGUGUUGUGGAAGAAGUGAUUCUGUAAUUGGAACUCAAGUUUUAACCAAUCUGGAAUAUAGAACUUCAGAUAGUAGACUACUUUCAAGUCAAAACAUGCACGACAUUGGCGAGUCUAGUUUCUCUGCCGUAGAUCCACUAGCUAGUCUUGUUACUUACUCAGGGCCAGUAGCUUAUUCUGGAAGCAUCUCGCUUCGAUCAGAAAGUAGCACAACUAGCACACGUUCUUUUGCCUUCCCUAUGUAAGUCGCAAUCUAACUUCACCUCUCAAGCUUCAUCUUUAUAUAUCCCUUUCUUAAUUGUAAUCUAAGGUAAAUUGUAUUUACUCUCUGGGUUUACAGAUUACAGUCCGAAUGGAAUAGUAGCCCGGUUAAAAUGGUAAAAGCUGAACGAAGGCAUUACCGAAAGUAUCGAGGUUGGAGGGAGGGACUUCUAUGCUGCAAAUUCUAACUGGUUCUGUGCUAUUUCUAGAGUUAGACUCUGUUUGUGCAUCAUCCAAAUUUAUUUUCACACACAUGUAAGUAGAUGUAUUAUUUCCUGGAGGUUAUGCAUUUCAUUCAUAGUCAUUCUUUACAGUUUGGCCUAUUAUGUGAAAUUUAAUGUAUUUGUAAUACUUCAUAUCUCUCUUUUCUCUGGAAAAUUUCUCCAGUGGACCAUAUUUCUCCAUUAUACAAGGAUGGCAAAGCAUGAAAUGGUUGCUCUGUUUAUAGUGAUUUUAUGGCCAUGAUAUUGGAUAGAAGUUUUCUUGUUUUUUUCUUAAGACUUGGAUGAGUUCUCUAAGAAUCCCACUUCUAUAUUUAUAAACUGUACAGUCUUAAUGGAACCUUAACUUACCAGAUUAGCGAUAAGAGGUGAUUGUUGAGUUGAAUUGAAUUGAAUAUUGUUCGCAAGCUAAGAUUGAAAGAUUGAAGCAUAGCUACUGUCUGGGAGAAAGUCAAAAGUAGUAUACAUCAGGACUAGAAAACCCAAAACCACUCUUCAGAUCAGUAUUUCCCCCACCCCCCCCCCCCCCCCCCCCCCCCUUUUUAGGACAUAUCAAAGUCAAUUGAAAAAAGAAAAAAGAAAAAGCAAACUAAAUCCUGAUUUAAAGAAUUAAAUCAAACAGAAGCCGACUAUUUCAUUAAGCAUGGUUUGUUUCUUUUUUGGUUAUUUGUCUAAAAUUUUCAAAGUAGAGGCUGAAUUUGAAGUAGAAGAAGAAAAAGAGAGAAAAAGAAAGAGAAGGUGUAUGCUGCAAGGGGGUUGAGUUUGAAAGAGGAAAAUGAUGGAGUGAUAGGACAAGACUGAGAAAUGGAAGAAAGUGAUUUGAGAGAGGGAAAAUGGAAGAUAAGUGGUGAAAGCAGUUUUGAGAAAGUGAAAGGUGCCAAUGAAAAUGAUAGAGAGAUGAAAUCUAAAAAGUAGAGAUCAAAAGAACAGAGUGACAGAGAGAGAAAAUGUUAGGAGAGUGGUUAAGAAGAAAUUAGUUUUAAAGGUUGAAUUUUUAAAUAUGUUACCUUCUGUUUAUGAGUUCCUCUAUGUACAAAUGUUUGAAUUCUUCUUGCUAAUCACUAGUAGCUCCCAAUUACUUUUUUCAGGAAUCUCUUUUUCUUUUUCAUCACUGUUCUUCUUUUAAAACAAAAUGAAUAAACAUGUAACAAUGAUGAAAUGUAUAGAAUCAAUGCAAUAUCAUUGUGACAAGAAAUAAAGCUACCUUGGUGUCAUCAUUUGUUGAGAAAGCCCUAUAAAGUUUAAGUUGGUUGGCUUUUUUAAAUUUCCAUUGUACCACUAUGUAAUUACAUGUUAAUCUAGGAUUUGUGUCUAUUCUCUUCCCACCAUCAUUUUGCAAUCAAAUCAAAAUUUUCUUGUGAUCAUAUAAAUGUCAUUUGACAUUUGAGGUGAGGGAUAUCAUAUAACAUUCCUAUCAGGUAUAUGUUGUUCUUCAACAAGGCAUUGCUGAGAGGUGUUUGUCUCUAUUAACUUCCAUCUUUUCAAGCACAUCAACUCAAACAAAGUAGCAUAUAUCAUAUGUCUACUAUCUUAAACUACUUCUAGAACUCUUACUCUAUGUUUCGGCCUAUAGAAGUUGCAAAGUAGAGUUAUGAAUUUCACUUCUUGUUUGGCUUCCGACGAGUUUGUGGGCUCUUGGACUAAAAACAUCAAUCUAGUGCCUCAUUUAACUUCUUACACUAUGAUCCAUGAAGUUCACAAUUUCACUACUUUUGCGUUGAACAACUUCUUAUAUAGAAUCACAUUUCUUCUAUGAAACAAUGCCUUUUAUCAUUCAUUUGAUAAGAAGCCCUACUCAUAUUUCACUAUAUGUUUGUGAAAGUUGUUUCAAACGUCAAAGUCAUUUCAUUUGUUGGUAUGAGAACACUCGAAUGAUUGGCAUGAAAAUACGACAUUGUUACACGAUGGGGUGUUGUUGGUGUGAUAAAACAUUGUUGACAUAAAUAGGCAUGAAUUACCCUACUGAGUUUUGGUUCUAAAUCAAUUAGAUUUUGGUUCUAAAUCAAUUAGAUUUCAAAGAUUGGGUUAGGCACAUUGUAUUAUAAUAAAACCUCUAGAACCUCUAGAGAUAGAGAACAAAUUUCCUUGUUCAUAAUUUAAACACAACAUAAGAUAAAAGAAUUUCGAACAAAAGUUACCGUUACCUUUUUAGCCCUUAAGUUUUAAUAUAAAUAAGCAUUUGGUCUCUUAGUUUUAAAAAUAUACCUUUUUACAAAAGAAAAAAAUUUAAUUCAUCCUUAAAAAAUAUAAUUAUCGAGUCCUAAGCUGACUCAAUUCUCAAUUCUCACUCAAUUUACAAUAAGGAGCUGUUAUUAAAUAAAAUGCAAACUUUCCAUGUUAGAUAUAACAAUAGAAGAGAAAAAGAAAAAAGAAAAUUGCAUGGUGGAUGAUGCAAACACUUGAGAAAAGUGAAAACUUAUUUUAUUUUUUUAUGUUAGAGAAAUGACAAAACAUAACCAACCCAAAUGGUGUGAAAGUCCAAAAAGAAAAGAAAGGUUUAUUUUUGCUUUCUUUGCUUUCUUUUUCUUACAUCUUUGUGAAGUCUAUUUUGUAUUAUUGCCUUUGUCUUUACAAAUAUAUAUAUCCAAAGAAAAGAAUACAACUCUCUAAUACCAAGAGAUGGCUGUUUUAGCCAUAACUUUGCUAUGUCUCAUACUCUCCAAUAAUCUACUGAUGCAGUCUCAGUCAUCGCUCCACCCCCCAGGUUCGUUAUUAUUUAAUUUAUUCCUUUUUCCAAGUUUUCAAGUUAGAUUAUCAUUUAGGAUCUGUUUAGUUUGUAUUAUAAUAACUCAAAAACAAAGAGAUUUAACAAUACAUUGUUCUUCCAAUUUCUAUCUUUUUCAAUUCUUUUCGAAUAUGUGUUUUGGUAACAUAUUUAAAAACUAAAAUAUAGUUUAGCAGUUAUAACAAUUAUUAUUUUUUAACUAAGUAUGUUAUGAAUUGAGUGAGUGAGCAAAGCAGGUGAGUUGAUGAUUAAUGUGAUUUAAAUUAUGAAAAUUGCAGGCAAUAAUAAUGAUAGUAAUGGAGAAUGGGGUAUUGAAGAUGAAGACGAUGCAUUGGAACACUUUGCAAUGGAUUAUAGCACUGUAAAACGACGUCGUCCAAUACAUAAUAUGUCUUCUCAACAGCAUCCUUAAUAGUAUUUGAAGUCUUUUGCUGAAAUUGUAUUAACAAUAUGUGUAGUUAAUGUAUAUGACUUUCGCAAACUACGGACUUCAAUUGGGCGGCCGAGGAAGUACUAUUCGCUUGGACCCAAGCCCACUCCCAAACUUCUUUAUUGCCCAUCGUUUAGGAAUAAUAAGAGAUAUUAGCACCGCUUUUUUGGGUGAUUUUGAGAAACAUUUUCUCGGAUUUUUUCUAAAAAUAAUAUAAAAUUUGAAACAUAUUUCAAAAAUAAGGUGGAUGCAAAACUAUUUUAAAAAAAAAUAGGUGUUUUGAGGUGAAGUCGUGUACGGGGUACACGACUUCCAUACAGUGGACCCCACAUAUUCUAUUUUUUUCUUAUUUUUAUAUUUAUACUACACUGGGCCCCACAUUUUUUAAUUUUCCCAUUAUUUAUAUACGUGGGUCCCACACACUUCACUUUUUCUCAUUAUUUAUAUAUACAUACUCACAUAUAAUAUAAUAUAUAUAUUAUACAUUCAAAUUCUAAAAAUAUCUUUCUUUAUUAAAUUAAUUAAUUUUUUUCUUUAUAUAUAUUUAAAUAUCACAAUCUUCAAUCUUCAAUUUUUCUUAUUAAAUUCAUUUUUCUAAUUUAAUUUAAUUCUUUUUUAAUCAAAAUUAUACAUAUAUUUUUUUUCCAAUUUUCAAUUUUUUUAAAAAAAUCUCAUAUAUUAACAAAACAUGUUAUUAAAAAUAUAUUAAACAAAUUAAAAGAGUAAUAAUAAUAAUUGAGAUAAGUUAAAAUUACUAAAAAAAAAAUAAUAAUAAUAACACUUGAAGCUACACACAUUGAUAAUUGAAUAAAAAGAAAUUCAUGUUUAUGGUAAAAGAAAAAAAACAAGAAUUGGUUCGAUUACAAAUUAAAUUUAAAAACUUAAUGGAUAAUUUUGAAUUGCAAAUUUAUUGUUAUUAUUAUUUUUAGAGUACGUUUCAACUUCUUUCAAUUACUAUUAUUAUUUUUAUUUGUUUAAUGUAUUUUUUAAUAACAUAUUUGGUUAAUAUAUGUGUUUUUUUAAACAGAAAAUUAGAAAAAGAUAUAUAUAAUUUUGGUUAAGAAAUAAUUAAAUUAAAUUAGAAAAGAUGAAUUAAUAAGAAAAUUUGAAGAUUGAGAUAUUAAAUAAAUAUAUAUAUAUAUAUAUAUAAAUUAUUAUUAUUAUUUCUAUUUUUAUUUGUUUAAUAUAUUUUUAAUAACAUAUUUGUUAAUAUAUGAGUUUUUUUAAAAAAAUUAAAAAUUGGAAAAGAAGAUAGGUGUAAUUUUGAUUAAGAAAAAUUUAAAUUCAAGUAGAAAAUGAAUUUAAUAAGAAAAAUUGAAGAUUGAAGAUUGUGAUAUUUAAAUAUAUAUAUAUAUAAAGAAAAAAUAAAAAAUUAAUUAAUUUAAUAAAGAAAUAUAUUUUUAGAAUUUGAAUGUAUAAUAUAUAUAUUAUAUUAUUUGUGAGUAUGUAUAUAUAAAUAAUGAGAAAAAGUGAAGUGUGUGGGACCCACGUAUAUAAAUAAUGAGAAAAUUGAAAAAUGUGGGGCCCAGUGUAGUAUAAUAUAAAUAAAAAUGAGGAAAAAAUAGAAUAUGUGGGGUCCACUGCAUGGAAGUCGUGUACCCCGUACACGGCUUCACCUCAAAACACCUAUUUUUUAAAAUAGUUUUGCAUUCACCCUAUUUUUGAAAUAUGUUUCAAAUUUUACAUUAUUUUUUAAAAAAAUCCCAUUUUCUCUUUAAUUUUAGCUAUUAACAUUUUUCUGACGUGCAUAACCUUUUAUAAAAUAUCAAAAUAUUCGCCUUUUCCAAUUAUAAUUAUUUCGUUUCUAUAUUGUAAUUAAAUUUGUCCUGCAUUUAGCAACUCAUAUCAUAAUUUUUUUUCUUUAAUAUCCGAUGAGUCAAAUAGCGUUCGUUUGUUGAAUCAUAAAAAUAACCAAAUUAUUAUUUUUAAUUAAAUUUUGUUGUGCUCUUUUUAUUUUAGCAACUCGCUUAUUUAUUUGUUUUUCAAUGUUUCUUACUAAAUUCUAAUUAACUUAUUCUACCAAUAUACCAUAUAAUAUAUAUAUAUAUAUAUAUAAUUAGUUCAAUACUUAGUUGGAAAUGAAUUAAAAUUAAAAAACAAUUACAUUCAUUGUAUUUAGAAUAACUUUUAAACCGGAACAUGUUAAUUUUACUUAAUAACAUUAAUUAAAUUAUAUUUUAUAUCAAUAUUGGUUUUAAAGUGUAGUUAAUGUAGUUCUUACAAUAUAUUGCGUUCUUAUGAAAAAAUCUUGUCUAUAUAACUAAUUUGUGAUAUACAUUCAUGAGUUUAUCAAAAGUCUUCUAGUACAAUUAAUUUGUGGUAUUCGACGUGUUAAUAAUGUAGAGAACCUAUCAUAACCUUUUCUAAUAUCUCGGAAUAUAAAGAUAUCAACAACUUUAAUUUUUUUAAUUUCACUAUUGUGUUAAGAUUUUAACAGUUUUAUUCAUUUUUUAUUUCAAAAUAUACUAACAUUUUCGUCAUCCUUUUUUAUUUCAAAAUAAGAUCUUAAUUUAUUUUUAAAUUUUAAAUUUUGAACUUGACAAUUAAAAUUAGUUUUUCUAUUAAGAUCUCAACAUUUUUAUUAUUAUCUGAAAAUUAAAUCAUACCCUUUUUGUUAUUUCAAAAUAAGUUGGAAUAUUUAAACACCAAAUAAUUUAAAAAUUAAAAUUAGUUUUUUUAUUAGAUCUUAACUUACUUUUUAAAAUUAAUUUUUUCAAUAAACCAGUAUAUCCACAAAAUCUCCUAAAUUUCAUAUACAUUUUAUUAAUAAAUAAUAUUAAUUUUAAAAAAAUCAGCUAAAAUCCCAUCACAUAAGUUUUGCUCGACAGAUCAGGGCCUACAUCAAAUUGAUUUAAGAGGCAAGCACGAUCAAGAUUGGAGUAGGAUUCAUGCAGAGCAUAUAGCAAUGUGGCAUUCACGAAAUAAUUUUUGUGCCGAAACAGAAGCAAUACAGAAGCCGACAGUAUCAGAUAACUACUUUUCCUGGUACAUGUCGAUUACCCGACGCUUCAUGACACAUGAUGGCGCUUACUGUUAUCGCAUGGUAAUAGUUUUUUAAUAUGAUUUAUAAAUUUAAUACAAGCAUGAACAUUUUUUAAUUAUAUUAUUUACAAUCGUUCAGAAUAAUUUUGUUGAAGACGUACGUCGAGUCUCCAUGGAAAACAAUUUUGAAAUUUUUAGACCAAUGUGUGACGAAGUCGUGGGAGAUAUAGACAGCCUUGUUCAGCGGACUCGACGUUUAAAUGUUGCCGACACAGAUCGUAGAUGCAUUCGACGGCGACGACGACGACAAGGCGAUGAUGUCGUAGAGGGAGAUGGGAAGCUUCAAGUUGUAUAAAUAAAAAAUUGAACUUUUUAAAAUUAAUUAUAAAUUAGAAGUUGCUAAUACGUGAUUUAGAUGUAGGAGUAUUCUUAAUAAUAUCAAUAUAUAAUAUAUAUUUUUUAAAAGUAGAGAACCAAGUAUUAAAAAAAAUGUUCAAAAUAUUUUUUUCUCAAUCUAUCUUAAGUCACAAGAUUUCUUUAAUAAAUUAACAAAAAUUCUUAUAAGAUAUCACUAAGGAUGUGUUUUAUCUUUGGUUUAUUUUUUUAAUUUGUUCAUAAUAAACAUAAAUUAUAAAAAAUUUGGCCAUUUAAACAAAAACUAAAAUUUUCACAUAUUUAAAGUUGAACAUUUAAACAAAAACAUAAAUUUCUAACUACCCUAAUUUUGAAAAUACUUUUUAAAAACACAUUAUUUAAAAAAAAAAAUCCGUCUUUCACAAAUGUUUUUACCCUAAAAAUAGUUAAUCUUUUAAAAUAUAAUAAUUUUAAAAACAAUUAUUUAGGAAGUCGUGUACCCCGUACACGACUUUCGUCCACGACUUCCGUCCACGUGGGUCAAACUCGUCCAUACGUGGAGCGAAGUGGUCAAAUGUGCUGACAUGUACAUUUAGGAAGUCGUAUACGGGGUACACGACUUCGUUCAAUUUCAUUUGGAAGUCAUGUACCCUCCAAUUUCAAAAAAACACCUAUUUUUUAAAAUAGUUUUGGAAACACCUUAUUCUUAUAAUUUUUUUUUCUAACAACCCUAUUUUUCAAAAUAUUUUUACAAAACACAUUAUUUUUUAAAAAAAUCCGGAAAUCAAAGAUGAAGAUAUUUAUAUUUUUCUUCUUUAAAAUGUCUAAAAGAAAAAUAGAAUGUGGAUUUGUUUGCUAAAAGAAAAAAAAAAAAAAAAAAAAAAAGUGGUUGUUAGACUGAGGUGUACCCACCAGGUAUGUUCGGGCCCUAAGAGAGCCGGCCCGUAAUCCUUCCACCGACAGAAGCGGGAGGUAACGCUGCUCUGUGAAACCAGCCUCACGCUGUAUCCUCCAUCUCUAAGGGCAAAGGACUCAAGGCCUUCGCCAAGAGCCCAAGGCCCAUCUUCGUACUUGGAAUGGGCGGUUCAGUGUAAUUCUCCAAGAAACCCUACCCGUUAGGGCUUGGCCCGCUUUCAACCACUCUAAAGCCCUCAUUUGAGUUACAAGCUCACAUUACCGAGCUCGGCGAUAG